AGAAUGAACGCUGGCGGCGUGCCUAACACAUGCAAGUCGUGCGCGAAAGGGACUUCGGUCCCCGGUAGAGCGGCGAACGGGUGAGUAACACGUGGGUAACCUGUCUGAGAGUGGGGGAUAACCUGGGGAAACUCGGGCUAAUACCGCAUACGUCCACCGGGCUUCGGCUCGGUGAGGAAGGUGGCCUCUGCUUGCAAGCCACCACUCCCAGACGGGGCCCGCGUCUGAUUAGCUAGUGGCGGGUAACGCCACAAGGCGACGAUCAGUAGCCGGCCUGGAGCGGGCUAGCCGACGACGACUAGGAACGUGAGACACGGUCCAGACCUCCGUACGGGAGCAGCGAGUGAGGAUCGUGCG
Molecule: ribosomal RNA, 357 nt
Filed under: uncultured soil bacterium
Lineage: Bacteria
Description: bacterial SSU rRNA
Rfam family: Bacterial small subunit ribosomal RNA
Source: RNAcentral